UGGAGCUCAUAUUCGAAUGGAGAAAAUGUCAACAAGUAUCCCACGGAGUGAACACUUCAAAAGGAGAAGCACAGGUGAGAAAAUCGAAUUUGGACACCGUUGAGGAGACUAUUGCAGUCAUCCAAGCUCAAGAUGGUGGAGCUUCAUCCUUGAGAAUAACCAAUGGGGAUAGAUUUAAGAGACACUUAGAGUCUGCAGCCAACAGGGCUGAAUGAGCAGAGAGUUAUGAUUCAGAAGAUCAUCUAAAAUUGAACAGCUGCCACUACUGGCAAUAAGUCUACUGCCAUUUGGUAGAUAACCUUCUUAUCACACAGAAAAAUAUCAGUACAGACAAAUAGACCGCAAAGAAAAUGAGACCAUCAGCAAAGAAGAUAAAGAAGUUUGUACAAAGCAACUUUUUAUAAAUGGAUGGCUGUCAGGCAAAAAUAAAUUUCCUGUGGACAAGACCAAGAGCAAGGCAAGAGGAAAAUAAACAUGUUUAAACU
RNAcentral lists this long non-coding RNA (485 nucleotides) under Homo sapiens (human). RNAcentral describes it as "non-protein coding LINC00343:22". Lineage: Eukaryota; Metazoa; Chordata; Mammalia; Primates; Hominidae. The record is from RNAcentral.